This 1371-nucleotide small RNA is filed under the name Histoplasma capsulatum. RNAcentral's name for it is "hypothetical RNA". The record is from RNAcentral. Lineage: Eukaryota; Fungi; Ascomycota; Eurotiomycetes; Onygenales; Ajellomycetaceae.
UAUGUCUCCUCUCCCUCCCCCAACUGCCAACUGCCAAACACCCGCUCUUGAUCGCUCCAUAAUCUCAUGUGAUCGAUCAAUAUCCGAUUUUAUAACAAGAAAGACAAGAAGCAGUGGGCUUCGAAGCGUGAGCGUAGAGAACCUCCCGAUAUAGAGGCUUAUCUAUCUAUCUAUCGAUUGUAAAAAAAUUAAAAAAAAAAAAAAAAAAAUACGGCGGGGGGGAAUCUCAUGGGAAUUAUGGAGAAGCCAAACGGGACAUAAUAUAAUAUAAUAAAAACGGUUCCCGGUAGCGGGUGAAAAUAGAUUAGAAUUAUAGGUUAUAGGGUAUAGAAAGUGUUCUAGGGACAAUAACGAGGUAGGCAUGUUUUAUCUGUCUGGCUGUAGUGCAUAACAAAAAAGGAGCGUGGGGCGGGUAUCUCUAGCAAAGCAGCAACAAUUCUAUAAAGGAGCGUCAUUCAUCGUCCCGACAUGAUCGGUCGUUGCAUGGAGUAAUAUAAUAAUGGUUAGCGAAAUGGUAGGAAAACAAGGGAAACAGGGAAACAUCGGUGAAAGUCCUCUAAAAAUUGCCAAGGGUUGCAGUGGUGCACGAAGCCACUGAUCAUGGCAAGCGAGAAGUCAAGGAAAGGACCGAAAAGAAAUAGGACAUGUCGGGUAAAUUAGAUUGUACAUGUACAUCGAAGGGGAAAGAGGGGGGCCAAUUUGAUUCAACAAAUGCCCAGACAACGAAAACGGGUCCUUUAUGUUAAUGAGGAAAUAAUGGUAAUAGGAGCAAUAGUAAUAAAAACAAACGGGGAACGGCAAUGAUGCUACAAAGGAUCAACAGUAGUCUCAUCGACGUCUGUCAGGCUUUUAUGCUCGGGGAGAACAAAUCUUGUAAGAACUUAAAGAGCGUUCGCUUCCGUAACGAUUUGCCCGAGGGAUAUGAAGACUGUUGCAGAACUGGCGCCACGGACAUUGGACCAACAAUAUCCUCAUCGCCACGGUCGGGGAAUUUGCUCUUGUCGUCCAGGUGGGGGAUUUUGAUGGCUUCGACGGGGUGGAUGUCCGGCUUGUGUAGCAAGCUGACGGGAUUGCCUUUGCCAUCCUCCAGACUCGUGACGAGUUGGUUGUGGUUCUCUCGCCACCGAGCCUCCACCGAAUCCCAUUUCUCCUCUGUGAGCCGGUAGAUGUUGGACGUUGCGCCGUAAUGCUCUGAAAUGCGAGUGAGGUGUUUCGCAUAGUUGUAGCGGGCAAGUUCCCAGUUGUUCCAGUGCUCGUCAAAAGCCUCGACCGUUCGAGCAGCGGGGAGGUAGGGUUCAGGUCGGAUGGUGAAAUUCGCAUGGCCCAGCUUGUCGGACCACUCAUCGUCCGUAUCCGGCAUUGCAACCGGGG